UAUUUUAAAAGGGGUGCCGUUAUACCUGCCCGGCGCCCGAUAAAAUUCCUCCUUGCUGCUGUGGAUUAAUGGCGAACGGGUGAGUAACACGUGAGUAACCUGCCCCUCACUCUGGGAUAAGCCUGGGAAACUGGGUCUAAUACUGGAUACGACCGAUCUCCGCAUGGAGUGUUGGUGGAAAGUUUUUGUGGUGGGGGAUGGACUCGCGGCCUAUCAGCUUGUUGGUGGGGUAAUGGCCUACCAAGGCGACAACGGGUAGCCGGCCUGAGAGGGCGACCGGCCACACUGGGACUGAGACACGGCCCAAACUCCUACGGGAGGCAGCAGUGGGGAAUAUUGCACAAUGGGCGAAAGCCUGAUGCAGCGACGCCGCGUGAGGGAUGACGGCCUUCGGGUUGUAAACCUCUUUCACCAGGGACGAAGCUAACGUGACGGUCCCUGGAAAAGAACACCGGUUAACUACUUGCCACACCGCGGUAUACAUAGGGUGCGAGCGUUGUCCGGAAUUAUUGGGCGUAAAGAGUUUGAAGGCGUUUUGUCGCGUCUGCUGUGAAAAACGGGGUUUAACUCCGGUUCUGAAUGGGUACGGCAAACUAAAGUGGGCAGGGAAACUGGAAUUCCUGGUGAGCGAGAAUGGGAAAUCUCAGGAGAACCCGAUGGCAAGGAGGUUCUGGGCCAUUCUGA
RNAcentral lists this ribosomal RNA (684 nucleotides) under Dermacoccus sp. HPC 573. RNAcentral's name for it is "bacterial SSU rRNA". It matches the Rfam family "Bacterial small subunit ribosomal RNA", at positions 32 to 743 of the family's 1533-position model. Lineage: Bacteria; Bacillati; Actinomycetota; Actinomycetes; Micrococcales; Dermacoccaceae. The record is from RNAcentral.